GGUCCUGUGAUGACGAUGGCAGAACAGAACGACAGAAGGGACCUGGGUUUCUGAUGACAUCUUGAAGCUGCCAAUCCAGACUUCUGGUCUUGUUUUAUGCGAGUACCUCCAGGGCAGGGAGCCUGCAGUGGUUCAUGUGUGUCUAAGCAUGUCUGGCACCAUUAGGUAUUCACCAAUAUUGCUGAAGAACUGAAGAGUGAAUGAACUCCCAGGAGAUGGCAGCUGAGGUUCCCUUUGGGCCGCCUUCCAGGCAAAGGUUUUCAGAGUUCCUAAAGGACAACUAGUUCCAGGUGAACAUCUUCGGGUGAGCCUCCAAAGCCAUCAGGCUAUGCUCGGAUGUGGACAUCUCUCAUCUUAAAGCUUAAUCCUGAACUUAUUACUUGUGAAAUGCCUUCUGCAGCCUGGGACUUUAGACAGAGAUAAGACAUGCUGGGAAUACAUAUUUCCAGAUGCACUUCUUAAAUAAAGCAGCCCCCACCCCAGGUAACUUCCAGUGUGCCAAAGGAUGAAGGCUGGUUGCCAGGAAAACCAACACGUGAUUAGCCGGUUGUAAUUUUCAGUCCCACCCCCAGAUCUCCUGGGAGGGAAGAGGGGCCACUGGUUGAAUCAGUCUCUAAGGGCCAAUGAUUGAAUCCAGCACACCUGUACCAUGAAGCCUCCCUAAACGCCCGAAAGGACAGGGUUUGGAGAACUUCCGGGCUGGUGAACUCACGGAGGCGCUGGGAGAGUGGCGGCUGGAGAGGGCACCGCGACCCUUCCCCUACCCCUUCCCCCCCUCCUGCAGCUUUUCCAUCUGGCAGUUCCUGACUCAUCCUUUGAUAAUUAACUGGUAACCUAGUAAGUACAAUGUUCCUCUGAGUUUUGUGAACUGUUUUAACAAAU
Long non-coding RNA from Leopardus geoffroyi (Geoffroy's cat), 882 nucleotides. RefSeq lists it as uncharacterized. The record is from RefSeq and is a predicted model, not a curated record. The transcript is spliced from 3 exons. Lineage: Eukaryota; Metazoa; Chordata; Mammalia; Carnivora; Felidae.